Molecule: ribosomal RNA, 468 nt
Filed under: uncultured bacterium
Lineage: Bacteria
Description: partial 16S ribosomal RNA
Rfam family: Bacterial small subunit ribosomal RNA
Source: RNAcentral
GACGAACGCUGGCGGCGUGCUUAACACAUGCAAGUCGAACGGAAAGGCCCUGCGUGUGUGGUGUGCUCGAGUGGCGAACGGGUGAGGAACACGUGAGUAACCUGCCCUUGACUUUGGGAUAACUUCAGGAAACUGGGGCUAAUACCGGAUAGCAUCCCCUGUUGCAGUGUGGGGAGUGGAAAUUUUAGGCGGGUGGGGAUGAAUGCGCGGCUUAUCAGCUUGUUGGUGGGGUAGUGGCUGACCAAGGCUUUGAAGGGUAGCCGGCCUGAGAGGGUGACAGGCCACAUUGGGACUGAGAUGAGGCACAGAAUCCUACGGGAGGCAGCAGUGCGGAAUAUUGCACCAUGGGCGGAAGCCUGAUGCAGCAACGCCGCGUGCGGGAUGACGGCCUUCGGGUUGUAAACAGCUUUCGCCUGUGACGAAGCGUGAGUGACGGUAAUGGGUAGAGAAGCACCGGCUAAAUACGUG